Molecule: long non-coding RNA, 727 nt
Organism: Passer montanus (Eurasian tree sparrow)
Lineage: Eukaryota; Metazoa; Chordata; Aves; Passeriformes; Passeridae
Exons: 6
Source: RefSeq, a predicted model, not a curated record
CUUUCAGGAACAAGAAAAAUGUGGAGUAACCAGACAACUGCAAAUGGAUCUGUUAUGUACAAACUGAUCCAUGCUUUUUUCUCCUGGAGUUUUCAUCAUGGAAAGCCAGUGAGUGCUGGCCCUGGAACAGAAUACAGAUUCUGCUACAAAUUGUCAGCAGAUGCACUGUGCAGCUCAUGUACCACAACUGCACACAAAACUAUAACCUCCAAAAGCUGGAAGCCCAGUUCGUGCCUGGAUUCUGCAAUGAGGAAUGAAGAAUUCUGUGUGGAAAGCAAGAACUUCUGAUGAACACAUCUGUUGUACCUGCCAGACUAAUUUAGGCAGCAUUUCAUACCAUGGAACUCCCAGACUUAGCCAAGAUUGUCAAAAUGUAACAGAGAAUCUGUAAAGAUGACAAGUUGCCAAGAGCAAGAUUCCUUCCUUGUCCAGAAGCUGACAAAUUUGUUUCUGUCAUCACCAUGCAAUGACAUUGUCUCAGGUCAGAGGGGAUGGAGAAGAGAUUUUGCUUCUGCUUGAGCUCCAGCCUGGUCACAGGUGUACAUGUUACAGCUCUGGACUCAGUAGCCUGGGGCAAGCCCAGCGCGAAGCUGCCUCUACCCAAUCUUCAGAGAGCUUGCAAGGAAGAGUCUGCAGCAUUCAGAAAAACACCAGAUGCUUAUUUAGUGGCAGCUUAAAAAGAAAAAAAAACCAACAAAACAUCUUCAACCAUCUAUGAUAUAUAGAG